GCGUGCGUGAAGAAGGCCUUAGGGUUGUAAAGCGCUUUCACCGGUGACGAUGAUGACGGUAGCCGGAGAAGAAGCCCCGGCUAACUCCGUGCCAGCAGCCGCGGUAAUACGGAGGGGGCAAGCGUUGUUCGGAAUUACUGGGCGUAAAGGGCGCGUAGGCGGAAGAUCAAGUCAGGGGUGAAAGGCCUGGGCUCAACCCGGGAACUGCCUUUGAAACUGAUUUUCUAGAGUACGGGAGAGGAUGGCGGAAUUCCCAGUGUAGAGGUGAAAUUCGU
RNAcentral lists this ribosomal RNA (275 nucleotides) under uncultured bacterium. RNAcentral describes it as "partial 16S ribosomal RNA". It matches the Rfam family "Bacterial small subunit ribosomal RNA", at positions 399 to 691 of the family's 1533-position model. The record is from RNAcentral.